AAAACUAGCGGAAUUAUAUAAGCUUUAUUCAUCUGUAUAUCGAUGGAGUACGUUACAUAUAGUCGAUAGUUUUUAACCCAGUUGCCCUAUUAUUGCUUCAGCAAUACCAGCAACAAUUCUGACACCUGAAUUAAAGUCAGUAAUAGGAGAUGACCCUCCGAAUUUAUCCUCACAUAAUCUUCCAACGGAGUCAGGAAUGUAAUGCAUCAAUUUCCCUGCAUCCUGAUGUUUGCUCGUAUAAAUUACAUGCUUGGCAGCAGGGACCAAACUGCCCACGAGCAUUGCGUAUUCUGUUUUGCAAUCCUGUAACGAUUGUGUCACGCCCCAAUUUUUGAAAGGAAAUUUUCAAAAAUUUUGGCAUGAUAUCCCUUAAAAUAAUAUAAUCCCAAAACCUGUUUCAACAAAAAUCAAGGAAAAUAAACUCAAUGCGUAAUGUAAAUUUACACACAACAGCAAAUUGAGUUAAAUUACAAUUCCUUGUUUACAUAACUUGAGAACAAGAAAAAGAAACUCUCACAUGAGUUUAAUAAAUCCUAUCCCAGUGUAUAUAAAAAGAAUAUACAAUGAACAUCCAAAACCCGACAAAAAACAUUGCCACUAAGCCUCCACCUCAACCCUGUUGAUCCUCACCUGCAGGUCUAACCCCUACACCAAGAAUGGUGCACCAGGUUGUAAACAACAAACCCGGUAAGCUAAAAAGCUCGUAUGAGUAAACUCAAAAACAACACAACAUUUAAUCACAUCCAAUAUUCACAAGAGAGAUUGGAUCAAUAAUUAAAAACCACACAUCUAACACAUUACCCAAGAAAUGUACUCAUGAGUCCCAGAUAUUUAAAUAAAUACCCCUCAUGACCUACAACAACACUAUGUGUAUCCAUGGGUCCCAGAUACCAUACAGUAUCUCCCAUGACCUACACUGACAGACGGACUAGAGCUCUAUUCCUAACCGCAACCAAUCACCCGGCCAAAGGCUUGGAACCCGAUUUGACUGUCUAAUAUCAAACAAAAAAAUGAUAAAUAGUAUCUUAACCGCAACCAAUCACCCAAAAAGGGCUUAGAACCCGGUUUGGCUAUUUAUCCAACAAUCAUAAUAAAUUCCACAACAUUAUCCUCAACAACACAAUAUCACAAUUAUUAUUCUCAACAACAUAAUAUAAAGAAGACUUGUUUUUAUCUUACCUAUGAGCGGUUGGUGAUCAAGCUCAUAUAUUUUUAAAAACAAUUAAAAGUAUAAUAUUGAAACCAACAUCAUCAUCAUUAUCAUUAUAUAACCAUAAUAACAUUAGGUUCGAAAGUGAACCUUGGUGAGAUUUACUCACCUAAAUAUCUCGCUGCAAUUUCCACAACCAAAUAUAGCAAGCGAAACACAACUUCACAAAUCACCUAAAAAAUAGCACAAAUAAAAUCUUAGUAACUAAAACACUAAAGGUUAUCACACUACCCUUAACUAACCCUUAGUUAACGAGAUGACAACUUUCCAAAGUCGUCCAACUUAGAGACCCACAAAGGCUGCCUCUAAUCCUCAAAUCUUACCCCAAACCUCAACCAAGCCUACACAAAUAAACUUAAGUCCUAACAUGCCAACCUUGCCUAAAAUCUAGCCAUACUACCACUCAACAAGCUCACAGCAACAAAGACUAGCUAACCACAGGAAGCUAAGGCCGCAACUCAGCCGGACGUGCCGCCACAAGCGGCGGCGAGUGGGCCCCACGCGCCACCCCAAACUUCCGAAUUAGGAGAAACUCCCAACAGCAAAGUUGAAGCUUGAAGCAAGGGGAACAACUUUCAUACCUGAGACUUCGACCAAUUUUGGCCGGAACCGGCCGGAAACCGCCCCGAACAGUGACCAGAAAAUCAAAGACAAAAUCUGCAAAACCGGCCUCAAAACCUUAAAAACUUGCUUCAGUCCAUGCCUAAACACUACCAGGGGAAGGAGAGGAUCAAGACUCACCUAAGGAUGUACCUCGUCGCCGCCGUACACGGCAGCUCCGACCGUGGUGCAGCAGCCCUCUUUCCGGCAACACAGCUCCGAUUCCGGCGCGCCACACCGAGCAGCAGCUGCCCAGCCUUGAAGAGCACACUUGUGGGAGUCGAACGGGACCGGUGGCGGUCCAAACGGUGGCCGGACGGCGGAGCUAGCUCCGGCAGAAUUUUGGUCCUCAGGGGAGCUCGGGAGAGGAAGAGAGGGAAGGAAAAGAGAGAGAGAAAAAAGUGAGGUGAGUGAGGAGAGAGAGAGAGAGAGAGAGAGAGAGAGAGAGAGAGAGAGAGAGAGAGAGAGAGAGAGAGAGAGAGAGAGAGAGAGAGAGAGAGAGAG
This 2314-nucleotide long non-coding RNA is filed under the name Fragaria vesca (wild strawberry). RNAcentral describes it as "long non-coding RNA (FVES_LNC001561)". Lineage: Eukaryota; Viridiplantae; Streptophyta; Magnoliopsida; Rosales; Rosaceae. The record is from RNAcentral.